AGAUUAAGUUAUUAAGGGCGCACGGUGGAUGCCUUGGCACUAGAAGCCGACGAAGGACGUUACUAACGACGAUAUGCUUUGGGGAGCUGUAAGUAAGCUUUGAUCCAGAGAUUUCCGAAUGGGGAAACCCAGCACGAGUUAUGUCGUGUUAUCGAUAUGUGAAUACAUAGCAUAUCUGAAGGCAGACGCGGAGAACUGAAACAUCUUAGUACCCGCAGGAAGAGAAAGAAAAAUCGAUUCCCUGAGUAGCGGCGAGCGAAACGGGAAGAGCCCAAACCAACGAGCUUGCUUGUUGGGGUUGUAGGACACUCUAUACGGAGUUACAAAAGAACAGACUAGACGAAUCAUCUGGAAAGAUGAAUCAAAGAAGGUAAUAAUCCUGUAGUCGAAAGUUUGUUCACUCUUGAGUGGAUCCUGAGUACGACGGAACACGAGAAAUUCCGUCGGAAUCUGGGAGGACCAUCUCCCAAGGCUAAAUACUCUCUAGUGACCGAUAGUGAACCAGUACCGUGAGGGAAAGGUGAAAAGUACCCCGGAAGGGGAGUGAAAUAGAACUUGAAACCGUGUGCUUACAAGUAGUCAGAGCCCGUUAAUGGGUGAUGGCGUGCCUUUUGUAGAAUGAACCGGCGAGUUACGAUUUGAUGCAAGGUUAAGCAGUGAAUGUGGAGCCGUAGCGAAAGCGAGUCUGAAUAGGGCGUUGAGUAUUUGGUCGUAGACCCGAAACCAGGUGAUCUACCCAUGACCAGGUUGAAGUUCAGGUAACACUGAAUGGAGGACCGAACCGACUUACGUUGAAAAGUGAGCGGAUGAGUUGUGGGUAGCGGAGAAAUUCCAAUCGAACCUGGAGAUAGCUGGUUCUCUCCGAAAUAGCUUUAGGGCUAGCCUCAAGUGAUGAUUAUUGGAGGUAGAGCACUGUUUGGACGAGGGGCCCUUAUCGGGUUACCGAAUUCAGACAAACUCCGAAUGCCAAUCAAUUUAACUUGGGAGUCAGAACGCGGGUGAUAAGGUCCGUGUUCGAAAGGGAAACAGCCCAGACCACCAGCUAAGGUCCCAAAAUAUAUGUUAAGUGGAAAAGGAUGUGGCGUUGCCCAGACAACUAGGAUGUUGGCUUAGAAGCAGCCAUCAUUUAAAGAGUGCGUAAUAGCUCACUAGUCGAGUGACACUGCGCCGAAAAUGUACCGGGGCUAAACAUAUUACCGAAGCUGUGGAUUGUCCGUAAGGACAAUGGUAGGAGAGCGUUCUAAGGGCGUUGAAGCAUGAUCGCAAGGACAUGUGGAGCGCUUAGAAGUGAGAAUGCCGGUGUGAGUAGCGAAAGACGGGUGAGAAUCCCGUCCACCGAUUGACUAAGGUUUCCAGAGGAAGGCUCGUCCGCUCUGGGUUAGUCGGGUCCUAAGCUGAGGCCGAUAGGCGUAGGCGAUGGAUAACAGGUUGAUAUUCCUGUACCACCAUUAUUCGUUUUAAGCGAUGGGGGGACGCAGUAGGAUAGGCGAAGCGUACGAUUGGAUUGUACGUCCAAGCAGUGAGAUUGAGUGUUAGGCAAAUCCGGCACUCUUAAGAUUGAGCUGUGAUGGGGAGAGGAAAUUGUUUCCUCGAGUCGUUGAUUUCACACUGCCAAGAAAAGCCUCUAGCUAGAAUUGUGGUGCCCGUACCGCAAACCGACACAGGUAGUCAAGAUGAGAAUUCUAAGGUGAGCGAGCGAACUCUCGUUAAGGAACUCGGCAAAAUGACCCCGUAACUUCGGGAGAAGGGGUGCUCUUUAGGGUUAACGCCCAGGAGAGCCGCAGUGAAUAGGCCCAAGCGACUGUUUAUCAAAAACACAGGUCUCUGCUAAACCGUAAGGUGAUGUAUAGGGGCUGACGCCUGCCCGGUGCUGGAAGGUUAAGAGGAGUGGUUAGCUUCUGCGAAGCUACGAAUCGAAGCCCCAGUAAACGGCGGCCGUAACUAUAACGGUCCUAAGGUAGCGAAAUUCCUUGUCGGGUAAGUUCCGACCCGCACGAAAGGCGUAACGAUUUGGGCACUGUCUCAACGAGAGACUCGGUGAAAUCAUAGUACCUGUGAAGAUGCAGGUUACCCGCGACAGGACGGAAAGACCCCGUGGAGCUUUACUGUAGUCUGAUAUUGAAAUUCGGCACAGCUUGUACAGGAUAGGUAGGAGCCUGAGAUACGUGAGCGCUAGCUUACGUGGAGGCGUUGGUGGGAUACUACCCUCGCUGUGUUGGAUUUCUAACCCGCACCAUUUAUCAUGGUGGGAGACAGUGUCAGAUGGGCAGUUUGACUGGGGCGGUCGCCUCCUAAAGAGUAACGGAGGCGCUCAAAGGUUUCCUCAGAAUGGUUGGAAAUCAUUCAUAGAGUGUAAAGGCAUAAGGAAGCUUGACUGCGAGACUUACAAGUCGAGCAGGGUCGAAAGACGGACUUAGUGAUCCGGUGGUUCCGCAUGGAAGGGCCAUCGCUCAACGGAUAAAAGCUACCCCGGGGAUAACAGGCUUAUCUCCCCCAAGAGUUCACAUCGACGGGGAGGUUUGGCACCUCGAUGUCGGCUCAUCGCAUCCUGGGGCUGUAGUCGGUCCCAAGGGUUGGGCUGUUCGCCCAUUAAAGCGGUACGCGAGCUGGGUUCAGAACGUCGUGAGACAGUUCGGUCCCUAUCCGUCGUGGGCGUAGGAAAUUUGAGAGGAGCUGUCCUUAGUACGAGAGGACCGGGAUGGACAUACCUCUGGUGUACCAGUUGUCGUGCCAACGGCAUCGCUGGGUAGCUAUGUAUGGACGGGAUAAGUGCUGAAAGCAUCUAAGCAUGAAGCCCCCCUCAAGAUGAGAUUUCCCAACUUCGGUUAUAAGAUCCCUCAAAGAUGAUGAGGUUAAUAGGUUCGAGGUGGAAGCAUAGCGAUAUGUGCAGCUGACGAAUACUAAUCGAUCGAAGACUUAAUCAAAUUUUA
Molecule: ribosomal RNA, 2930 nt
Filed under: Staphylococcus saprophyticus
Lineage: Bacteria; Bacillati; Bacillota; Bacilli; Caryophanales; Staphylococcaceae
Also listed under: 1 other name
Description: bacterial LSU rRNA
Rfam family: Bacterial large subunit ribosomal RNA
Source: RNAcentral